GAAACAGUUGCUAAGACAGGAUAGGAAAUUAAGAGGCAUCUUUUAAUUUUUAAAAGACCUUUUUCGAAAGGUAUACUUAAAGAGGGGCUUGCGCCACAUUAGUUAGUUGGUAAGGUAAAGGCUUACCAAGACGAUGAUGUGUAGCUGGACUGAGAGGUCGAACAGCCACAUUGGGACUGAGACACGGCCCAAACUCCUACGGGAGGCAGCAGUAAGGAAUUUUUGGCAAUGGAGGAAACUCUGACCGAGCGACGUCGCGUGAACAAUGAAGUACUUCGGUAUGUAAAGUUCUUUUAUUGAAAAAGAAAAAAUAGUGGAAAAACUAUCUUGACAUUAUUCAAUGAAUAAGCCCCGGCUAAUUAUGUGCCAGCAGCCGCGGUAAUACAUAAGGGGCGAGCGUUAUCCGGAAUUAUUGGGCGUAAAGGGUGCGUAGGCGGUUUGAUAAGUCUAUAGUUUAAAUGCAGUGCUUAACGCUGUAGCGCUAUAGAAACUGUCUGACUAGAGUUAGAUAGAGGCAAGCGGAAUUCCAUGUGUAGCGGUAAAAUGCGUAAAUAUAUGGAGGAACACCAGAGGCGUAGGCGGCUUGCUGGGUCUUAACUGACGCUGAGGCACGAAAGCGUGGGGAGCAAACAGGAUUAGAUACCCUGGUAGUCCACGCCGUAAACGAUGAGUACUAAGUGUCGGGUUUCGGCUCGGUACUGAAGUUAACACAUUAAGUACUCCGCCUGAGUAGUACGUACGCAAGUAUGAAACUUAAAGGAAUUGACGGGACCCCGCACAAGCGGUGGAUCAUGUUGUUUAAUUCGAAGAUACACGAAAAACCCUUACCAGGUCUUGACAUAAUUUUGCGACAUUAUAGAAAUAUAAUGAAGGUUAUCAGAAUUACAGGUGGUGCAUGGUUGUCGUCAGCUCGUGUCGUGAGAUGUUAGGUUAAGUCCUAAAACGAGCGCAACCCUUGUCGUUAGUUGCGACCACGUAAUGGUGAGCACUUUAGCGAGACUGCCAAUGAAAAAUUGGAGGAAGGUGAGGAUUACGUCAAAUCAUCAUGCCCCUUAUGAUCUGGGCUACAAACGUGAUACAAUGGCUGUUACAAAAAGUAGCUACAACGUGAGUUUUUAGCCAAUCUCAAAAAAACAGUCUCAGUUCGGAUUGAAGUCUGCAACUCGACUUCAUGAAGUUGGAAUCGCUAGUAAUCGCGAAUCAGCAUGUCGCGGUGAAUACGUUCUCGGGGUUUGUACACACCGCCCGUCA
This 1251-nucleotide ribosomal RNA is filed under the name Eggplant big bud phytoplasma. RNAcentral describes it as "bacterial SSU rRNA". It matches the Rfam family "Bacterial small subunit ribosomal RNA", at positions 153 to 1399 of the family's 1533-position model. The record is from RNAcentral. RNAcentral also lists the same sequence under 1 other name. Lineage: Bacteria; Bacillati; Mycoplasmatota; Mollicutes; Acholeplasmatales; Acholeplasmataceae.